Lolium rigidum is the source of this 588-nucleotide long non-coding RNA. RefSeq lists it as uncharacterized. The record is from RefSeq and is a predicted model, not a curated record. NCBI's taxonomy places the organism in Eukaryota, Viridiplantae, Streptophyta, Magnoliopsida, Poales, Poaceae. The transcript is spliced from 3 exons.
UCUCCAUCCAGAACCCCCAACGGCGGCCGCAUCCCCACCACCCACGCGAUCUCUUCUCCUCGAUCCUCGCCGGCGGAUGCUACCCACCUCCGCGCCGUCAAGAACCGGCGACCUCCACCCUCGCGUCCUGUCGCCCGGAGGUCAACUCGAUCUCCGCCGUCCUCUGGGGGUCCUUCACCGUGCGGAUUCCGACCCUCGGCGCCGCGCUCCGGGAAGACGUACCAUCCCCUGGGCACGCCUCCAUCGGCGAGCUCCCAUCCGGAGAAGGAAAAAGGCCGCUUCAAUUCACCCAGCCAUCGCGCUGCUAUCCUACUCCGACGACCGGCUGCUGACCGGAGCCCUGUCGGCCGCCCUCCACAAGCCGGUGAGUGUAUGCACGUGUUGGGUGAAAACCCUAGAAAAGCUUGGGAUGGAUGGAUUGAUGGUGGUGCUUCUUGAGGAGGCGGCGGCGGGUUUGGGAGCGGCGACAACUUGCUCUACCGCUCGGACGAUGACGGACGGAGCGGAUACAGGAUUAUCUUAAAGAGUAGCUGCAGCCCUGAUCUGCUACGGAAGCAUCGUACAAGAUAAGGUCUCCGGUAAUACAUG